CCGACGGUGAGAGAUGAAAGCUGGGGGAGCAAACCGGAUUAGAUACCCGGGUAGUCCCAGCCGUAAACGAUGUGCGUUAGGUGUAUCGGUGACCACGAGUCACCGAGGUGCCGAAGAGAAAUCGUGAAACGUACCGCCUGGGAAGUACGGUCGCAAGGCUGAAACUUAAAGGAAUUGGCGGGGGAGCACCACAACAGGUGGAGCCUGCGGUUUAAUCGGACUCAACGCCGGGAAACUCACCAGAUAAGACAGCUGAAUGAUAGUCGGGCUGAAGACUCUACUUGACUAGCUGAGAGGAGGUGCAUGGCCGUCGUCAGUUCGUACUGUGAAGCAUCCUGUUAAGUCAGGCAACGAGCGAGACCCACGCCAACAGUUGCU
Molecule: ribosomal RNA, 378 nt
Filed under: uncultured archaeon
Lineage: Archaea
Description: bacterial SSU rRNA
Rfam family: Archaeal small subunit ribosomal RNA
Source: RNAcentral